UACGUAGGCAGCAAGCGUUGUUCGGAGUUACUGGGCGUAAAGGGUGCGUAGGCGGCCGUGUAAGUGUGGUGUGAAAUCUCCCGGCUUAACUGGGAGGGUGCGCUACAGACUGCAUGGCUAGAGUGUGGGAGAGGAAAGUGGAAUUCCUGGUGUAGCGGUGAAAUGCGUAGAUAUCAGGAGGAACACCGGUGGCGAAGGCGGAUCUCUGGGCCAUAACUGACGCUGAGGAGCGAAAGCAUGGGAGCGAACAGG
This 252-nucleotide ribosomal RNA is filed under the name uncultured bacterium. RNAcentral describes it as "partial 16S ribosomal RNA". It matches the Rfam family "Bacterial small subunit ribosomal RNA", at positions 524 to 776 of the family's 1533-position model. The record is from RNAcentral.